This 301-nucleotide ribosomal RNA is filed under the name uncultured bacterium. RNAcentral's name for it is "partial 16S ribosomal RNA". It matches the Rfam family "Bacterial small subunit ribosomal RNA", at positions 509 to 807 of the family's 1533-position model. The record is from RNAcentral.
CAGUCGCCACGGUAAUACGUAGGUGGCAAGCGUUGUCCGGAAUUAUUGGGCGUAAAGGGCUCACAGGCGGUUUCUUAAGUCUGAUGUGAAAGCCCCCGGCUCAACCGGGGAGGGUCAUUGGAAGCUGGGAAACUUGAGUGCAGAAGAGGAGAGUGGAAUUCCACGUGUAGCGGUGAAAUGCGUAGAGAUGUGGAGGAACACCAGUGGCGAAGGCGACUCUCUGGUCUGUAACUGACGCUGAGGAGCGAAAGCGUGGGGAGCGAACAGGAUUAGAUACCCGCGUAGUCCCUGUCUCUUAUAC